RNAcentral lists this ribosomal RNA (253 nucleotides) under uncultured Luteolibacter sp. Its description in RNAcentral is "partial 16S ribosomal RNA". It matches the Rfam family "Bacterial small subunit ribosomal RNA", at positions 524 to 776 of the family's 1533-position model. The record is from RNAcentral. Lineage: Bacteria; Pseudomonadati; Verrucomicrobiota; Verrucomicrobiia; Verrucomicrobiales; Verrucomicrobiaceae.
UACGAAGGUCCCGAGCGUUGUUCGGAAUCACUGGGCGUAAAGGGAGUGUAGGCGGCGUGGUAAGUCAGACGUGAAAGCCCGGGGCUCAACCCCGGAAUUGCGUCCGAUACUGCCGUGCUUGAGGGUUGGAGAGGUAGCUGGAAUUCACGGUGUAGCAGUGAAAUGCGUAGAUAUCGUGAGGAACACUCGUGGCGAAAGCGAGCUACUGGACAACACCUGACGCUGAGGCUCGAAGGCCAGGGUAGCGAAAGGG